UAUUUUUCAGCAGGCUUAUAAAGG
This 24-nucleotide non-coding RNA is filed under the name Mus musculus (house mouse). Lineage: Eukaryota; Metazoa; Chordata; Mammalia; Rodentia; Muridae. The record is from RNAcentral.